UACGUAGGUCCCGAGCGUUGUCCGGAUUUAUUGGGUUUAAAGGGUGCGUAGGCGGAUUGAUAAGUUAGAGGUGAAAUGUCCGAGCUCAACUCGGGAACUGCCUCUAAUACUGUUGAUCUAGAGAGUAGAUGCGGUAGGCGGAAUGUAUGGUGUAGCGGUGAAAUGCUUAGAGAUCAUACAGAACACCGAUUGCGAAGGCAGCUUACCAAUCUAUAUCUGACGUUGAGGCACGAAAGCGUGGGGAGCAAACAGG
RNAcentral lists this ribosomal RNA (253 nucleotides) under uncultured bacterium. RNAcentral describes it as "partial 16S ribosomal RNA". It matches the Rfam family "Bacterial small subunit ribosomal RNA", at positions 524 to 776 of the family's 1533-position model. The record is from RNAcentral.